CGUGUCGUACCGCUCGAUCACGCCCUUCUUGUUGUAGAUCCGGCACAGCACCCAGUCAUCCAGCUGCAAAGAUAAUCAAUGAAACAAAGAUUUCAGCCACCAAAUCCACGCGAAAUUCAAGUGAGACGACAAAGUCAAUCGAAGAAGCUGAUUGGUUUUUCUUUUUACUACGCGUUGGAUUGGAGAUUGGAGAGGAGGCUUGGAGAUGAUGUCGACGUGCCGACGUGACGUCGGUCGUCGUCGGAUUCGGUGCGCGUUUGGUCAUUUGUUCGCGGGCGCGGGCGAUCAGGCGGCGCGCGGCUGCUCGAUCUGGCCGACCGCCCGCCCGCCCGCCCGCCAUGGUUGGUUGGUUGCCGCGCGCGCUUGUCUCUAUCCCGGCGUGCGUGAGCCAUGACGCCAUGCCGCCCGCCCGCGCUUUACAUGUCUCUAGAGCCUAUCCCUGCGGCUGCCCAAGUAGCCGCGCGCGCUGUCGCAAAAGGGACACCGCGACGCGAGCAUGCCUGCUGCCUGCCUGCUGCAAAUGGACAAUUUGCACGCCUACCUUUUUCAAUCCCUCCUCUCUUUAACUAAUCUGCAUAGUUGCAACUUGCAAGCCUAACAAACACAGCACAUUUCCAUCCACUGUUUCUUGUUGUGACAUAACAUUGGUAAAAGCAAAGAUCAAUCCUUUUUUUAAAAAAAAAAUUCUCUAUAAUUUUUUUUUUCUCUAACUGAAAGUAGUAGUCAGAAAUAUCUCCUCGAUCAGCUAUAUAUGAAUCAGCAGCAGGAUGGAGUAGCAGUGAAUGAAUAUAUAUAAUCACGUACCCUGAGGGCGUUGUUGGUCUUCUUGCGUGCGGCGGCGGAACGGUCGACGUCGGCGAGGCGGUACUCGUGCAUGAUCCAGUUGGUCUUGACGCCCUUGGGCGGCUUGCCGGCGUAGAAGACGAGGGCCUUCUUGAUGGCGACGGGGCGCGGCGACCCGACGGGCUUGUCGGCGCCGGUGGCCUUCCAGUACCCCGUCCC
This 1002-nucleotide long non-coding RNA is filed under the name Sorghum bicolor (sorghum). RNAcentral describes it as "long non-coding RNA (SBIC_LNC007750)". The record is from RNAcentral. Lineage: Eukaryota; Viridiplantae; Streptophyta; Magnoliopsida; Poales; Poaceae.